This 7641-nucleotide long non-coding RNA is filed under the name Sus scrofa (pig). Its description in RNAcentral is "lncRNA (ENSSSCG00000053820.1)". The record is from RNAcentral. Lineage: Eukaryota; Metazoa; Chordata; Mammalia; Artiodactyla; Suidae.
CAGGGUUUAAAAUUCUAUCAUUAAUAGAACUGCAGAGCAAAUGGAGAUUGUGAGUUUGAUGUCUCCCUGAAUCCUUUCCCACAUAUUUUCCCUGCAGUGUGAAAGUGGGCUCUCCUGAAACUGUGAAAGUAUUGACCUUUGUCGCCAGAGACAAAUUCAGAUCACCGCAGUUGCCUUUGGGAGCUCUUCUUAAUCUUGGAGGAUCUAGAAAGACUUUAUACUUUUCUGGUUCUUGUCUUAGCUGCAGUUUUGGUGACACAUGUGGAGGAAAGGCCAGGAAAUGUACAUCCCCCGUCAUGGGUGUGGGAUCAGGAGUCUAAGCAGGAGGCACUGUCAAAGUACUCAUCAAGCUUGACUUUAAAACAGAAAGACAGGGCUUUCUUUGGCUGGUUUGUAAAGAUCUUUUUAGCCUUUCUAACCUGCAGUUGUGUUAAGAAAAUGGGGAAGGAAGGAAAGAAGGAAGAAUUUCAAAAUGCGCUUAUCAUAAGACACUUGAGACUUGAGGCUGGAGCAUAUUUGGGCUGGUCACUGCUGGCCAAGGUGACUUGGGCUCCACAGUUGCCUCACAGUGAGGUGAUCACCUACAGACGUCUGUAGGGCUUCUUUGCCAUUCUAGGGAGCUCACGCUUAACUCCAGCGAGCAUCAAGACGAUCCCAAAGACUUAUUGAUGUGUUGGGAGUUGUUUUGAUAUUUUUUCUCUUUCUAGCAUCUUCUAAGAGCCAACCGCUUUUUGACAAUGACUAUUAGAUCGUAUUGUAAGAUCUAUUAUUAAUUUUAGAGGUGGCCCUCAUUCUACCCCCAGAGCAGUCACCUUGAAAAUCUGUGAAUCUGUGGCAUAAGUAACAUUAUGUGCAUAAGAAUUUACAUUAAAGUAAAUUCUACCAAAAAAAAAGUCAUUUUUAAAAUGUAUUAUUACCCGAAGACAUAUAACUAGUAAAUUGCUCUUUUCCUAAGAAUUCUGAUUUUUCUUAGGCUGAUUUAUCUAGGGAUUCAAAAUAUGGAUGCCAUUGCAAGAAUGGUAAGUGGAAGACCAUUCCUCUCCACAGCUAAUGUUCAGGUUUUAUGGUAAUGGAGCUUUUAGCAUCUUGGAAUUUUCUUACUUACAGCUAUGACUUUAUGUAUAGAGCAUUCAUUUUCCACCUGCAGGUAGAGUUAUUUGUCUGAAUUGUUGCCCUGUUGAAAUUUCCCAAUACUUUUGAAGGGACCUAGACCAUGAAAACACAGGUUGUCUGUCCCCCAUAAAGAGGCAGAUAUGGAUAUCCUGAGGAGCAAGAUUGCAAAGUAGGAGUUACACUUUGCUACCUAAAUGACCAAAUUCAAGAUAAUCAGAGACAAUUUAUUUUUGAGAUCACCUCAUAAGCUGAUCAGUACAUCAGACUGUUCAAUGACAUAGAACCACGACCGUGAAGUUUGUCUUGGGAGAACCAGAACGUUCCCCAUGAACAUCUAGAACUAAGCCCUUGGUGUGGAGCUGGGCAUUCCCAGCCUGCAGUCCCUUCUCUGGCUGAGCCCAGUGUGUCCUGCAAGGACCAGGGUCCUGCCAACCAGGCCCUGCAGGUGUCCUGGCCUCAGAGGGAAAGAGCCACUGCUGUAGUGGCUUCAAGGAGCAUGUUGAAGCAUAGUGACAUGUUUCUACUAAACAGUGUUCCCCUUUCUUUUAAACCUUUACAAGAUUAUCUAGCUCCGCUGGAAGAGUGUAUGUUGCUGACAGAAAUAAAGUGGGAUGUAUUGAAGAAAAAUUUUCCCACUUAGCACGUUACCUAAAGUUUGAAAGCAGAUUCUGUGUAAUCCAUAUAAUCAUAGAAGAGGGGCCUGAGAGAUGUGUACAAUACAUAGUUCUUUGGGUUACUGUGCUUCUCAAUAUUUAUGUCCCACCAAAGGCACCUAUUCGAAAUGCGAGCUUACUAGCUUUCGCGCUCUUUGCGUGGGAAUAAAAUCUGUUGAUGAUUUUUUUUUUAAUUUAAAUGUGUUAAUCUACAUUGAUUUCUAAAUUUGUCAUGGAUAUCUUAGCUGAGAAAUACAGUUCAUCACUGACUGUUCUGUUACCUGACAGCCACUGAUAAAGCAUCCAGGCACCGAGUGCCAGAAAAGGUUAAUAUUUAUUGAUUUUUAUGGUGCUGCGACCCAUGUAGUUUUGCCAUCAAAGAUGUAUGGCCACCAGCACUGGGAUCUGUAAAAUUGUGAAAUGCACACAGAUUUUGUUGUGACCUAUGCCAGUAUUCAAGAUUUAAAAAAUGACAGAUAUUUAACAAAAAGCUGGAAUGUGUAACUACUUUGAACCUGUGACUUGAAUUUAAUAUUUUAACAUGAAAUACAUGAGCACUUAAAAACUAAAAAUGAAUCCUUGCUUUGCAAACAGCAAUCACAUUUAGCCUUUUCUUCAACUUAACUAUAUGCUAUUGAUCCGAGAAGAUGCCCGAGCAAGUGAUAGCUGAAAUUAUGAGCAAUAAAGGGCUUGCUUCUUUAACAAAAAGUGUAUAAUUAGCUGAGAAGAGGGGAAAGCCUAUGUUUAGUUUUACAGGAGUUUCAAAGAAACAGUUUGAGUGCCACACCAGUGUUCACAUGUAGCCAGGGGACAAGAAACUCGUGGGCAGAGAGGAGGAGGCUGGCGUUUCUUUUGGUCUCCAUCUGUGUUUCCCUGAAGAGAGGCAGCCCUUGGCUAACCUGUGGUAGCAGUGCUGACCUCUUUCUAGUCUUCUGCUCCCUUGAAUCUACUUAAAACUUGUGUUACUUAGUUGACUCUUUACGGCUUCCUGUAUUUAACGGGCAAUGUAGGACAACUUAUGAAUUACCUUGAGAGCCAGAACACACACUGGCCUUUCAGAUCCUAGACUUGAAGUGUGAAUUGAAACUAGAACUCCACACCUAUAUUUGAGAUUUUUCUUUUUUUUCUUUUCUUUUCCCUUUUUUUUUUUUUUUUUUUUUUUGAGCAUUUAUUUCUACAAAAGGUUUAAGGGAAGUUCUAAUGCUAAAAAUGUAAAUCUACUUUGACCAACUGAAUAAAUUGCAGUGUGACCUGCAGAUGUGUUUUUAGCUCUCUCACCAACUUUGUCCUGGUUUUUGUUUUUUUCUUCUAUCGCAAACAGCUUGCCUAUUUUAUUGUGCUUAUUUAGAGAAAAGAGUUUUGUUUCUUGAAAGGGAUGCGUAUGUUGCCUAGAAAACCACUCUUAUAGCUUGAAUAACACUUGAAUAUGUGUGAGCCUAAAUUCUAAAAUUGAAAAAAUUAAAAAAAAAAGGCUAGAGAAAAUUUCUGAAUCAUGUUCUGAAAGCUGUUGACAGUAUGAAAUAUUUUCCAUAAAGACUUCAUUUCCCCUUCAUUUUAUUAGUGUUUAUAAUAUUGUUAAAAUUUUCUUCGUAAAUACUACUGUCAGAUGAAUCUGAUUCUUGAUAUAGUUUCAACUUCUUGAUUUUUUGAUGAUUCUGUCAUUAACCUAAUUUUCUUUUUCUUCCUUUUGUUGCCAAGUGGGCAAGGGCUCCUACGAAUAACAUAGCAUAAAUUAAAAAGCUUUUCUUAACGUUGCUUUGUUCCACUGUUGUUUUUCUUUGGGAGCAGCCUGGGUUUUGUAGUCUGCCAGCUUCAGAGCUGCCCCACUGGCUCUUUGCUGCCAACCUCAAACCUGCGGGUGACGACUAGGCGACAGGCUCCUCCAGCACCCCUUCACGUCUAAAAUUAAACAUGCCUGUCAGUGGUCAGUGGCCAUUCAGGGUGCCCACGACACCCUCACCUCCAAAUCAGUCACUACCUAAAAUACUGGCUGUGUGAAGAUGAUGAUGAGAUUAGUAACUGAUCAUAUAUUUAAGCUGCGUUUCCAAGAACACAAUAGAAAAACAAUGAAACGCUUAACACAAGAAACAUUUUAUGUAACAAACAAAAAUGGAAGGAGAAAAAAGAGCCAUUUCAAACCAUUUAUUCCAAAUUAGAGAAUCAUUUUAAGUUUUGUGAAUAACAGUGUGACCGAAUAUGGAAUUUUUAAAAUUGCACAAAGCCAGGUUUACUAUUAGAAUCAGGGAGAUUGUGCAAUUCUAACAACUGUGGAAUUUGUUCUCUGCUCCACCCCCAGGAAAAAAUAAACAAAUCCUUUGAAUCAUUCUUUUUGCAGGCAUGCUUUAUUUGAUUUUUUUGUAAUCAAAUUCACCCAUUUAAAACAUGUACUUUAUUUUGUGAAUUGUCACAAAAUGUGAGCCAUUAGAGAGAAAAUAUUUUAACUCCAUUUAAAAUUGUUUUAUUUAGUUAUUUUUUUGUAUAUUUUAUUUCUAAAUUAAGCAUAUAUUCUAAUAGUUAUAUUUGGAAAACAUUAAUGCAUAUUUUAUAACAAUUUGUAUGCUCAUUUGCUUUUGCUUUUUGGAUUGAAGCUAAAAACUGAGAAUGAUUUUGGUGAUUUGUUUUGCAUUAGAGAGGCAUUAAAAAUUAAAUACAAGAAACUGUUUAAGCAUAAUUGUGGCAGAUACAAAACAUUAUUUUUAGAAGUAAAAAUAACAAUAACAACAACAUAUUCUGUGGAACAUGACUGAAAUAAUGUGACAGUUUUUAAGCUUCGUCUUUGAACAACUAAUCUAUGUUGCUGUCUUUGAGAAACUAUUUAAGUACAGUUAUUUCUCUUCAGAAAAAGCUUUUCCAACAAGACUCCUUUAUAUCUUUUGCUUAUUUUUUUUCCUAGUGAAUUGUAUUACCUUAUUUUAGCUGAAGUUAUUACUGGUUUCAUGUGACCUGGGAAAAUUAAAAAUAUUAAGUAAGAAGGCCCAAGUUCCCAAUGUUUUCAAUGCCAGCUUCAGCUGAGCUGUUUCUUAAUUGCAGCCCAUUGGGGAAUUUCAGAGUAUCAUUUUGGUAGUGCUGGACUUGGCAAAGUACAUAAAGCACUUCGGUGAGGUAUGAUGUGAAAUGGCGUUGUUUAAAUUAAAAAAUAAAUCUCAGAGAUUUGGCUCGGCAACUGCCACCUGGGGAGGAGAAGGCGUCCCCCUGGCACCUAGGGCUGGCAUCUGGGUGGUGGUGCUAGGACCCAGGGAGGUGGUGCAGACAGACGGGGUGCAGGACCGCGUGUGGGGGCCGGUACCUUCAUCCACUGAGACCCUUUUACACAAGAACACAGAGAAAGUCUGUAAAUUCACACCCACGAGCCUGAUUUGGUCUCUCAGGAGAUCAAACAGCGAGGGCACGAAGGGUAGAGCCCGGGCCUCUCCUCCUAGCAGCCAGUGGACCUGCAGCGCCAGCGGAAGUCUGAAUUCCCCACCAGCUUUCAUUGCUUUGACUGUUUAAGGGAGCAAAUGCUUUUCCUAAUCUUUUGUCCACUGAGGUUCUUUAAUGGGAGCUUUUGCUCAGUGACUGCUUUUUUCACUUCCCGUGCUGUGGGAGUUCCCAGUCCUCCUGCCAUUUAUUAUAACCUGCUGCUUGUUAAUACAGGGUGUCCACAGACAUUCGCUCACACUUAGUCUUCAUUACUCAGACUGCUCCAUUUAUUUAUAAAACAACACGUGCCAGAUUGCUAGCUUGUAGCUGACUUUCCCCUGUUCUCUCCUUUCUUACGCAAAGCUUUGUAUCCAUAGGCAUCACUCUUGAAGUUUGAAUUUAUCAGAAUUACUAGCCUAGUUCUGAAUUCUCACAUAGUACACCUUGAAUUCCCAACAAUAUCAAAUUAAUUCAUCCCUUUAACAUGUCAUUCUGCUGUAUUUUAUUUGUAUAAAUUAUGUUUUUAAAAUAUAUAACUCACAUCACAUCUAUAUAUUAUCGAUUCUAAAGAAAUAGCAAGUUCACCUUUGAGGAGCAAGGGAAGACAAAAUGUUAAAGAGAAUAUGUUGGGGAUGAGGGUUCAAAUAAACCCAUCAGCACCUUGAAAUCUCUGUGCAUCUUAGACUUGUGUAAGAAGGCCAGGUAGAAACACAGGUUACUUUAUUUAGAAAUCAGAGAAAACAAUAGUUAGACCUAAAAUUUCAAAUCAGAGUUAAUACAUUCCAAAAAUUAAAUCAAAAAUGAAGAAAUGCUAUAUGACUCUUAAGGUGUUUUCUGUAAAGGUUUCAUUUCAGCAUGCAAAUUAGGAAGCACGCCAGCCAGCCUGUGAAAAGAAAGGGCAAUCAAAAGAUUGGAGAGCAACUGUAGAGGAAUUAAAUAAGUCUGCAGUUGCCAUUGUGUUGAUUUAUAGAACAGAUGGGACAGAAGUAGGAGAAAACUAGAAACAGAAUUAUGUGGCUCGUAACAGAGCAAGAAAACUUGAAAUAGUACAUAAGGAACCAUUUAUGAUAUUUGUAGCAGAUAUGUUUCUCUCAGGCAACCCCACAUUAGAAAUCAAAUGCUCAUAACAAAGCGCUAGCCCCUUGUAAAAAUCAAGGGCAAAUUUACAAAAAUGAAAAGCCCUAUUGAGCCAGGAGCUGGUGGGUGUGAAGUCUAGUCCUGCUGCUUGUGGUCACUGUCUGUGGAGCCACUAAACCCCUCUCUGCUUUCACGCCCUUAAAUGUAAAAUACAGAAUGAUGUUUUAAUAGAUGAAUUUUCUGGUAUGUAAUUCUGUGAAAUUAUAAAUAAUACUAGAUUACAACCCUAUUCUGGUCGUUUCUUUUGUAAUUUCAAUUUAAAUGAAAUGUGACUUUGUAAGGAAAGCAAAAUCUCAGAAUACUGGUACUUUUCUGAGAGUUUACAUACAAUUUUCAGGGACUCGAGACCACUGGGAGGUUGGAUUCAUGGACUCCCAGGUCAGGGAGACUAGAUGGAGACAUGAACAAAGUCUGACCCUCAACAAACAGUGAUGUUCACCAGUGUUGAUACAACAGCAUGACUCUGCCAAAUCUCCAUAAGCAUCUCUGUGAUCUGUGAGGCUCACACCAGGCACAUGCGGAGAGUACAACCCCCAUGGGGCAGGGGUGCUCAGUCUGUCUGCUGUGACCUCUCCCCUCUAGAGGUCAGUUCAGAGAAUAAAAAUCAACAAAAAUCAGUUGUUGGUUUUUUUCACCAUCUACCAGUUAUGGUUAGACUGGUGGCUGCAAAAGACUAUUCCAGCUAAAAUUGGCUUCCCUGUAGCAGAACAGUUCUUGAGGCCAGUGGGAGGUGUAUGGUUGGAGCACCAGUUGGCCAGGCACUCUCCAGAAGUCAUUGGAUACCAUGCCACACAGCAGUGGGCAGCCCAGUGAGGGUGCCAGGAGCUCCCCUCAAAGCCCAGUGGUACUGAAGAAGCCUCGAGGAAUGACCAUCCUGUGACUGCACAGCUCCCCUUUCCAAACCCAGCCACGACUGGCUGCAGGCAUCCAUGUGUGACUGCCAGAAAACACUGACUGCGACAUCUUUGGUUCCUACCCACCAACCCUAAUGUUUACAUACUUUAAGGUAUUAAACAAUGAGGCAGUUAUUCACAAGAUGGGAAAAAAACAGCAACAACAACAAAAAAGCAGUGUAGUCUCAGGUACCUGUCAUACCCUCAGUGAAUAGUGGACAUUAUUUUCAUUAUUUUUGCUGCCAGAAAUAGGCCUUAUCCUAAAUUCUCACUUAUCAAGGUAUAAAAACCUGGGCUAGAGGUAGGUCUCAGAUAGAAGAAAAUAUCAAUUCAUUCAGGAUUGCUCUUGACCACGGAUAGAAAAUGUUCUGAGUCCCUUUAUAAAGUCAUUCUAGCAUUACAGGUAACCUCCACAUUAUGUUUGCUGUAGUCCUCAUCAAAAUUAU